CAUCUGUAGCCCGGACAGAGGAUGAGAAUCUCCGGGGGUAAGAGGUUCGACCCGAGCGCAGCGAGAGAACGUUGCGUCAGCAACGGCCCGCAGGGCGAGCCACGAAGUGGCGAGUUAUCCUCUAUCACCGACCA
Molecule: small RNA, 134 nt
Filed under: Kluyvera ascorbata
Lineage: Bacteria; Pseudomonadati; Pseudomonadota; Gammaproteobacteria; Enterobacterales; Enterobacteriaceae
Also listed under: 1 other name
Description: RtT sRNA
Rfam family: RtT RNA
About the family: This family represents a bacterial cis-regulatory element known as RtT RNA.
Source: RNAcentral